RNAcentral lists this ribosomal RNA (252 nucleotides) under uncultured bacterium. RNAcentral describes it as "partial 16S ribosomal RNA". It matches the Rfam family "Bacterial small subunit ribosomal RNA", at positions 524 to 776 of the family's 1533-position model. The record is from RNAcentral.
UACGAAGGGGGCUAGCGUUGUUCGGAAUUACUGGGCGUAAAGCGUGCGCAGGCGGUGAUGUAAGACAGGUGUGAAAUCCCCGGGCUUAACCUGGGAACUGCAUUUGUGACUGCAUCGCUGGAGUGCGGCAGAGGGGGAUGGAAUUCCGCGUGUAGCAGUGAAAUGCGUAGAUAUGCGGAGGAACACCGAUGGCGAAGGCAAUCCCCUGGGCCUGCACUGACGCUCAUGCAGAAGACGUGGGGAGCAAACAGG